Molecule: ribosomal RNA, 504 nt
Filed under: uncultured bacterium
Lineage: Bacteria
Description: bacterial SSU rRNA
Rfam family: Bacterial small subunit ribosomal RNA
Source: RNAcentral
UGGGGAAUCUUGGACAAUGGGGGCAACCCUGAUCCAGCCAUGCCGCGUGAGUGAUGAAGGCCUUAGGGUCGUAAAGCUCUUUCGCCUGUGAAGAUAAUGACGGUAGCAGGUAAAGAAACCCCGGCUAACUCCGUGCCAGCAGCCGCGGUAAUACGGAGGGGGUUAGCGUUGUUCGGAAUUACUGGGCGUAAAGCGCACGUAGGCGGACCAGAAAGUUGGGGGAUGAAAUCCCGGGGGCUCAACCCCGGAACUGCCUCCAAAACUAUUGGUCUAGAGUUCGAGAGAGGUGAGUGGAAUUCCAAGUGUAGAGGUGAAAUUCGUAGAUAUUUGGAGGAACACCAGUGGCGAAGGCGGCUCACUGGCUCGAUACUGACGCUGAGGUGCGAAAGUGUGGGGAGCAAACAGGAUUAGAUACCCUGGUAGUCCACACCGUAAAACGAUGAAUGCCAGUCGUCGGGUAGCAUGCUAUUCGGUGACACACCUAACGGAUUAAGCAUUCCGCCU